ACAGUUGGAACGACUGCUAAUACCCGAUGUGCCGAGAGGUGAAACAUUUAUGGCCUGUAGAUGAGCUCGCGUCUGAUUAGCUAGUUGGUGGGGUAAGGGCCUACCAAGGCGACGAUCAGUAGCUGGUCUGAGAGGAUGAUCAGCCACACUGGGACUGAGACACGGCCCAGACUCCUACGGGAGGCAGCAGUGGGGAAUUUUCCGCAAUGGGCGCAAGCCUGACGGAGCAACGCCGCGUGGGGGAGGAAGGUUUUUGGACUGUAAACCCCUUUUCUCAGGGAAGAAGAAAGUGACGGUACCUGAGGAAUAAGCCUCGGCUAAUUCCGUGCCAGCAGCCGCGGUAAUACGGGAGAGGCAAGCGUUAUCCGGAAUUAUUGGGCGUAAAGCGUCCGCAGGCGGUUAAUCAAGUCUGUUGUCAAAGCGUGGGGCUCAACCUCAUACAGGCAAUGGAAACUGAUUGACUAGAGUAUGGUAGGGGUAGCGGGAAUUCCAGGUGUAGCGGUGAAAUGCGUAGAUAUCUGGAAGAACACCAGCGGCGAAAGCGCGCUACUGGGCCAUAACUGACGCUCAUGGACGAAAGCUAGGGGAGCGAAAGGGAUUAGAUACCCC
This 609-nucleotide ribosomal RNA is filed under the name Synechococcus cf. nidulans NK1-3. Its description in RNAcentral is "bacterial SSU rRNA". It matches the Rfam family "Bacterial small subunit ribosomal RNA", at positions 146 to 788 of the family's 1533-position model. The record is from RNAcentral. Lineage: Bacteria; Bacillati; Cyanobacteriota; Cyanophyceae; Synechococcales; Synechococcaceae.